Zophobas morio is the source of this 1695-nucleotide long non-coding RNA. RefSeq lists it as uncharacterized. The transcript is spliced from 5 exons. Lineage: Eukaryota; Metazoa; Arthropoda; Insecta; Coleoptera; Tenebrionidae. The record is from RefSeq and is a predicted model, not a curated record.
UAGAAAUUUCAGUUACCACAAUAAAAAGCAUAUUUUCUUCACUAAAAGAUGGAAAUUAUAUAGUCAUAGUAAUGAAAAGAAACUAAAUACUUUGUAAUGAACUAAGUUUACUUUUUCUUACUGAUAACACGUCGCCUGAGGAGUCCCGAGACUAACUUAUUAGACAAAAUCUAUUUUGCCAAAUAGAACCUUAUAAUUUACCAUAGUCUCUUUCAAGAGCGAGACAAACAGUCCAACUCUCUCUUUUCUUGCAUUUUUAUAACUUUUUUAUAGAAUGGUUUGCUUGGUCUUUAAAUUAGGUCUCUUGUUCGACGAAGACUGCAUAACUAAAACGAAGUUCAGCUCACACAACUUUGCCAUCGUAACUAUCGACGAACGCCAGUUGGAGUUCGUUUCUUCCUAAUUUCCUUCUUCAAAAAAGAGUAAUAGCGUUGUAUAGAAUUUGCUACAUAUGUUUUUUCCUUUUUCAAGGGAGUCGAUAAAUGUUACACCCUACGCAUCCCAAAAUAUGGUAGUCAUAAACUUCCAGCAAACUGUGGCGUUCUUGUUCACUUUAAGCUGUCUCACACUUUGCUUCUCACUAAGCUGAGUGCUGAUUGAACUUUGCUCCAAACAACUUUCAAAUCAUUAAUACGUUGUUGUUUAUGGCCCACUACGAGAAAAUGCGGUACUCACUUCAAAAAAAGUUUCCUCAUACCCGAAUAAUCGUGCGAAAUAAUGCGUGCACGCCCCAUUGAUAUCUUUCCGAUAGCAGUUAACUCACGCAACUUCACUUUACGAUCAACAACGACAAUUUAGUGUAUUUAUUUCAUGUUUUUCGAAUAACUGCCUUUAUUGGGCGUCCAGAGUUUCAGCUUGUCCGUCGAUCCCUUUUAAACUCAGCAAACCCUUAGCCAUUUGCUGUUUUCCACGGAGCAGAUUCCUUAUAACUCCUUUUCCACCAUUGCUGAGCUUGAACGGUUAAAUUACUCAUUUCAAAUUACGAUAAGUAAGAACGAAAGGACUUAUCAUUUGAAGGUUGGUACUAACUGAGAACGGUAUGAACUCUUUUUAAGAGGGGCAUAUGUGGGUCACCUUGGGACUUUUCAGGCGACGUGUCAAAACUGUAUUUAGUCGAGCUUACAAAUUAAUUGAUAUCAACCUCUUAAAGAAAGAGAAGUAAAAAGAUUAAGUGAAGGACUUUUUCGGAGAUAAUUUGGCAAAAAUAAAACAGGAUCUCGAUGUAAAGGGAGUUCAUCAUUGGACGUGGUUAAAAUAAGUAUACAUCAAGGCUACGUACCUGUGAGCAAAGUGCGUUAAAUGCAAAAAGAGCAUCACUUCAAAUUAUCCUAUAUAAUACAAGGAAAAUUCUUUAAGCGCCAAUUACCUAUAGCGGUUGUUUAUUUAAUCCUUAAAGCUUCAUUGAGACCUAAAAGGAGUCAUGACAAAUCUUAGUUUUACCUACUCUUAAAGAACUGUGGAAACCUCCGACCAAAAAAUACAAAUUAAUUAAAAUAAGUGAUUUUGUAUAUCAAGUUUUUAAUUACUGUGAACUGCUACUACCAGAUAAAUUUCUUGCUCGCUCGAGAAAAAAAAAUACUUUCUACACUCAACAUAGACCGAAAAAGUAUUUCCAAAUUUUUUUAAAAAAACCAAAGUACCCCGGGCUCUCUUAUUACCUCUAGUGCCUUCAAUCUUCAUUAGAGCUCUUCCACG